GCUAUACAUGCAGUCGAGCGAAUGACGAAGAAGCUUGCUUCUUCUGAUUUAGCGGCGGACGGGUGAGUAACACGUGGGCAACCUGCCCUGUAGAUUGGGAUAACUCCGGGAAACCGGGGCUAAUACCGAAUAAUCCAUUUCCUCACAUGGGGAGAUGUUAAAAGACGGCAUCUCGCUGUCACUACAGGAUGGGCCCGCGGCGCAUUAGCUAGUUGGUGAGGUAACGGCUCACCAAGGCGACGAUGCGUAGCCGACCUGAGAGGGUGAUCGGCCACACUGGGACUGAGACACGGCCCAGACUCCUACGGGAGGCAGCAGUAGGGAAUCUUCCACAAUGGACGAAAGUCUGAUGGAGCAAUGCCGCGUGAGUGAAGAAGGUUUUCGGAUCGUAAAACUCUGUUGUGAGGGAAGAACAAGUACGAGAGUAACUGCUCGUACCUUGACGGUACCUCAUUAGAAAGCCACGGCUAACUACGUGCCAGCAGCCGCGGUAAUACGUAGGUGG
Molecule: ribosomal RNA, 505 nt
Filed under: bacterium fme09x28p235
Lineage: Bacteria
Description: bacterial SSU rRNA
Rfam family: Bacterial small subunit ribosomal RNA
Source: RNAcentral